This 19-nucleotide microRNA is filed under the name Homo sapiens (human). RNAcentral describes it as "hsa-miR-4289". The record is from miRBase by way of RNAcentral. Lineage: Eukaryota; Metazoa; Chordata; Mammalia; Primates; Hominidae.
GCAUUGUGCAGGGCUAUCA